RNAcentral lists this long non-coding RNA (5546 nucleotides) under Gallus gallus (chicken). Lineage: Eukaryota; Metazoa; Chordata; Aves; Galliformes; Phasianidae. The record is from RNAcentral.
GCACAGGUGCCGAGCGGCGGCACGCGGCCGUUGGCGCUGGGCUGCGGCGCGGCGCGAGCGGCUCGGCGGCCGAGGGAGCCUGGCGCCGUGCUCGCCGCCGCGUGCCCGCCGGGGGUGCGCAGCUGCGCCCUGACGUGCCGCCGUUCGGACAGCGGCGGGAGCAGCCGCCGUCACCCGCGGUGGUGCCGCUGCCCCGUGGCAGCCUGGCCCGCGUCGUUUGAAAAAGUUGUUGCUGUGGUAGAGUUGCCGCGAAGAAGGACGAAUCGAUGUUUUCCGCGCCUGGAGGACGGAGCAAUUCGCUGAGAGGUUUCCGCGAUGCGCGAUCCAAACUGCGGCAAGCGGAGAUUGGGAUGGCGGUAACCGACUUUUGCCAACGGAAAAAGUUUGUCAGACUUUUUUUGGAGGGAGCCUUCUCCCUCGUCACGAAAACCUUCCUUUACGUAAGAAAAGCCGUCUGUUAGGAAAUGCAAGAAAUAAACGCAUCGUUACAGGACGAUGGCUGAGGGAUGGUACCGCCGUGGAAACGAUGGGUCGGGCUUCGGCUCAUGGUGGGAUUGCUGAGCAGUGGAGAUUCACGGCUUCAGACAGAGCUGCAAGUCGAACCCGCUGUCCAUGCCGUGCCUCGUUCACGCUGUUCUUCACAUCAGCCUCUGGGAGUUUUCGCCAUCUCCAGCCUCCAUGCGUAAGCAGUGCAGUCUUCAUUAAAUGCGGGUAUUUGUUUCACCAGUAACUCAUCUGUUUCUGAAGCACCAGGAGGCAAAGUUCAAACCCUGCAAAGUCCAUUUGGGGUUCGGUUAAUGGACGUGAGGCACCCUACGUUUCGGAGAGCAGUUUGAGCGGUGUCAUGUCAGGAAGCAUCCCAGCAGACAUCAGCUGAAACCUUCACUCAUUCAAAGAUGGGUCUUGGUGUAUAUCCAGAAAUGCUCUUAUCUUGACGAGCUUAGCUACAUCCUGAGCUCUGCUGCAUUUUCACACAGACAGGAAAAAGGUUGAACUCCACCCAACCGUGUCACUGCGUUCAGCCCACACACAGCACACUUGGGUAAAACAGCACUGCUCAUGGGUAACAAAGUGCCGAGAGCACAGCCCUAACUGCACAUCUGCCCACUGACAGCAGCACUUCCCCAAGAAGUAACCAACUUAGAGAAUUAACAUCCUCCACCUCCUAGGAGAGGUCGAUGUCUGGUUGAAAAUAAGAUCACCUUCUAUUCUUGCAGUGCUACUGGAUACAAGUGUCGAAACAAGAGGAUCUUUUUGUCUUCAAUGCAGAUUCAUAACUUUGUAUCCUAAUCUUAAGAUCAGAAAAAAAUGGACAGUGUUGCACGCUUGUACAAAUCUGUAUCUAAACUGUCAUACUAACAACUUGUUUCCAGCUGGGAGGUGCUCAUUUGUACAUUGCUACAUUUAAACCAUUGUACAGUUCAUAAAAUAACCAAUUAGAAUGGUCAAGCAAAUACACCCAAGCUUUGAUCAGUCAGAUAGCCAGUCCUGUGGGAAAGGACUGUUACAGAUGAACAACACACUGCUGCAGCUGUCAACAAAACAGGGUACACGGGAGCCCACCACCCAAGUUGCUGCUGCUAUGUUUCACUCUCAAGAUUUCCCACUUAAACUUGAAGGGACAGAGCCUCAGGUAAUGACAACCUUAGAUUAUGAGUGCUGUAUUUUCUCUUGUACAUCCCUCUUAAUACUUCAACUAACAAAAUAUGACGCUCGGAUCACUUUUCUGCCUUGUCAGGUGUUGUUCAUCAGUCCUGAGAAUUCAUAAUAAAUGUUCUCAGAUUAUUCUGUACUUAUUUGCUGUUUGUGACCAAACCAGCACCUUUAUUUGGACCACUGUAGUCUCAAAUGAAGCACCUGUCAUUCAUUAUUUUUACUAUUUAUUCCUGAGAGAACCGAUACACUUUUAGCACCCAAAGCAACCUAUGGCAAUGACUUCUGCAAAAUGUAGUACUUGUGGAUUUCUUUAUGUGUUAAAUAUGCUUCCUGAUAAAUCAGUUGCCUACCAUUUCCUGUAGGAGUUCCUGCAGAAAUUAUUAAUGAAAUAUUCUUGCAAGAAUCAGUAGAAAAAGGAAACCACAGAGAUUCUAUUUAACAACGCAUUCAGCAGCACUCCAUAGCACCUAAGAUUUUAUUCUAAGUUGCCAGUUAUGCAGACUGGGAGUUCUGGUUUAAUUAACCUUCCUGUGCACUGAAGCUGUCCUGGCUGCCAUUCUCUGUGGUUUUGGUAGUUUUGUGGUAUCAUUUGUAAGGGGGAAUCUUUAAAAAUAUGUAUGGUAUUCAAAGAACUUUCUUAUUUGUCAGCUGAACCAUUCAUGUUGUUAAAAAGCACAGGAAGCUCUUCCAUAUGACAAAGAGAAGAAUGAAAAUCCUCUUGAUUCAUUUCAUGUAAAUUCUAGACAUAAAAUAAGUUACUAGGUGGGUUUUCUGAGCGUCUGUCCUCCAAGCAAUGCUCUCAGCAUAACCAUUAGGCUUUUAAACAGCAUCUCCAUUUACUCAUUGCCUUUUACAUGAUAUGAAACUGGGCACGUGUUUAGAGCUGAGAGUUCUGUUACAACUUGAUGAUCAAAUUCUUUUUAAAUUGUUUCUCUUAUGGUUAAUGGCUUUCAGAAAUCCAAAAUUCAGAGCAAUUUCUCUUAGUUACUGGAUUGUGUUUCCAAGAUGUAUAAUAAGCUAUUCUAGCAAGGGAGGUAUUUUUUAGUAGAGGAUGUUGAAGCAUUAUUUCAAAUAGUUUUUUAAGUAGGUUUAGUGUCCAUUGAGAGGUUUUGUUCUGCCAAAGGGCUGGUAGCAACACCUGCUGAGAUAUCUUGCCAUCUGCUUAUACAUCCAAGAGCCGUAAGAUUGGAUUAGUAAAACUUUUCCUCAUAUCCUAUGACCACCAUUUCUUUUCUGUAUUUGGGUGUAUUUUGGAUGAAGCACCUAACUUCACAAGUUUUCUCUACAAGAAAGAAAUUCUAAGUUAAGUUGGAAUGAACUACACUGAGCUGAGUUCAGCUUUGCAGAGAUGAAGGUAGAGUUUGCAAAUUCUGAAGGAUCUCCCACAAAAUGUACACUAGUCAAACAGUAUCAGGGAUCUCAAUCAUAAAAUGUUUUACUGCAUAUAUAGAUAUUCUAGCAUUCCUUAACACAUUGCUCUUCAUUUGUAUUACUGAUUUGGCGUGGCUUCCUCUGCUGUUCUUACUGAUGGCAUCCUUUGAUGAACUGUUCAUAAACUCCAGAUUAAACAAAUUUUAGACAUGGAAGUCUGAGAGCAAUUCAGACUGUUUCAGGCACAUUAAGGCUCCUUUGUUAGUGUCUCUGCAUCCAUGAUGGCCAGAUGGGUGGAACAUUCACCAAGGAAGAAGAAGACCUUGAUUUCUAAAUCCUAAACUACAAGUUAGAGACCCCUUUUGUUAAGCACAAGGCACAGUUCAAUCAGGAAUGCAGGAGCUAUGGGGGCUAAAAAGAGACUAACAAAGACAGGCUGAUUCUAUUGAGAAUGCGAUUAACUUGGAGAAGGGGAAAACAAUACUGUGAUCUGCUUGCAAUUCCCAGUGCUGUUUAUUUAUUUAUAUCCACUGAUGCUUAAAUGGGAAAUGCAUAAACAAGUCUUUAGAGCACAGACAUGUUGACUUUCAGAUAAAGGUGGGAUCAUUGAGACAACUCUUUGUCUUGGAUCAGUCACUAUGAAAAAGUACAUUAAGAGUUUUCAUGCACUACAAGCGAACAAGUUAUCCCCAUAACAUAACUCAAAUACAACUAGCUUACAAUAUUCCCAGUUUUAAACGGCAUAUAUUUGUAUGCUCCUGCUCUUGAUGAGAUACCAAAAUUAAAUUCAUUUAUAUUUGCAUCAGUUCUACAUUUUCAUGAAUGCAAAGUUUACACUACACUUAUAUCUUAGCCUUGGCAGAAUCUUACAGCUAUUCUAGAUAUAUUCUAGAUAUUCUAGACCUUCUGAAUCUUAACCAAUACAAACUCCAGUCUAGCAAGUGGCUGCGUGCUCUGUUCCCCAAUUAACACAAAGCUUCAUCACCCUUUGGGGAUAAAAAUAAACUGCUAUGUGUAUUAUCUUACCCAUAAUUCAUUUAUUUACGGAGUUAGUGAAACUCAUAAUUAACUAGACCUCUCACGGGGGCUAAUUUCCUUCUGUUCUUUCUGGCACACUGGUAUAAAGUUCAGAAAAUGGCACAAUUUGCAAUGCAUCUCUCCUCUAGGAGACCCAUGUCAUCAUCUGAUCACAGAUUCAAUCUCUUUUAUUUUUUCCUUUGUACCCUUCAGCUUAGAUUCCUGGUUGCACAGUGAUCCAACUUCGCAUGGAGGCAUGAAAGAAUUCCACCAUAGAAUUAUUUAGCUUGCGAUUACAGUGUAUUCCUGGAAAGCAUGCACAGGUGGUUCAGGUUCAAGCAGGGAUGCAUGAGGAUUGGAAUCCAGGUUUCCCAUUUCAGUGUUGCACCUUCUUAUGACAAUGCUUUCUGGCAGAAGAGUUCAGUAGCAUACAAAGUAAACACUUUUUGAAAGAAAGAAUAAUAUAUAGUGGGAAACAACUCAGGAGAAAAGCUCCAGUAUGCUUCAGGGGACAAGAAGCAGACACUGAAGCCAUUCUGAAUCUGAGUGUGGUCAGUAAUCCGGUUUUACACAAGAAAUAAGGGGGGGAAAAAAGCAUAACUGCGUUGAAGACAUAGCUUAGAUAGUUUAUGAGUGGGACUUGGGUACAUGUCCUACUGGGAAGCUACCUCCAUUGUCCAAGAAGUUCCAUUACUUUUAUUUCCUCCUUAUAGGUUUUUAGCAGGUACAGCAUGAUUUUCAACUUAAAAAUGAUCAGUUUUACAUAGGUUUCUUUAUAAAAGACAUCAUUCUGUAUAAAUAGUCUUCCCUUUUUACUUUUUGUUCCACUUUAAUUUACUGUUACCUAUCUAGCUUGGGGGGAAAAAAAGAAAACAAAAAAAAAGCAUUCUUCUCACAGUACUUACCAAACAACAUUAAAAAAAAACUAACCUUAUCAAAUACAUUAGGAAGCAUGAAAGACUUGCUUACACUAUCAUAAACUGAAUUUGCAUCUUCUUACCACAUUCAGUUUUCCAUCCAGUGAUUUUUUCCUUGCACAGUCUUCCUAUAGAAGGAAAGUAAAGUUAAUGUAAUUCACGUUUUUGUCCUUGAUUAACCUGAUUAAUAGAAAAUACAUAUACACAAUACAGUGAGAUGCAUACUUCCAUAAAUAAUUUAAUUGAGAUAUAUAUUUUAAGAGUUAAGAAGGUUAAGAAGAGGGUCACAGAGAUGAUCAGAAGGCUGGAGCACCUCUCCUAUGAAGAAUGGCUGAAGGAGCUGGGCUUGUUCAGUCUGGAGAAGAGAAGGCUGCAGGGAAACUUCAUUGUGGCCUUCCAGUAUUUAUAUGAAGAUUAUAACAACAAGGGAAAUCAACUUCUUACACUGGUGGAUAGUGAUAGAACAAAGGGGAAUUAUUUUAAACUAAAGGAGGGAAGAUUUAGAUUAGACACCAGAGGGAUUUUUUUUCACUGAGAGGAUGGUGAGGUGCUGGAAGAGGUUGUCCAGAUGUUUGAGGUUUUGGA